AAGAACAGCUGGUGAAUGCCUGACCGGUGAAGCCUUUACAACGGCAACUUCCGAGACUUAUUCAGCUCCUGCUAAACCAUUCGUUACCCCUCCUUCUGUGAAAGUCUUUCUGGGAACCUGUCGGAGUCCUCUUACUGUAGAUGGCAAGGAAUCAGCUAUGGAAUUUCCUCUUGUUGGACGGAGUUUAAGAGGGAAAUCUUUGACUUGAUGCCUCCCCUUCCUACUACUCGCGCUAAACCAUCUCCCGGUAGAGAAAGUCCUACUAUAAGUCUUGAAUUGACUA
RNAcentral lists this long non-coding RNA (283 nucleotides) under Nicotiana benthamiana. Its description in RNAcentral is "long non-coding RNA (NBEN_LNC036973)". The record is from RNAcentral. Lineage: Eukaryota; Viridiplantae; Streptophyta; Magnoliopsida; Solanales; Solanaceae.